AUUAGGCAUGCAAGUCGAGCGGGAUCCUGUUCCUUCAAUUCUUCGGAAAAGAAGGCGCGGGUGAGAGCGGCGAACGGGUGAGUAAUGUAUGGGUAAUUUGCCUUGAAGCCCGGGAUAGCUACUCGAAAGGGUAGGUAAUACCGGAUGUGCUCGGGUGUCGCAUGACACCUUAUGUGAAGCGGGGAUCUUCGGACCUGCCACUUCAAGAUAAGCCCAUAUCCUAUCAGCUAGUUGGUAAGGUAAUGGCUUACCAAGGCUUACGGGUAGCUGGUCUGAGAGGACGACCAGCCACACUGGGACUGAGAUACUGCCCAGACUCCUACGGGAGGCUGCAGUCGAGAAUAUUUGUCAAUGUACGAAAGUAUGAACAUGCGACGCCGCGUGGAGGACGAAGGCCUUCGGGUUGUAAACUCCUGUCAUGAGGGAGUAAGUGUAUGCCGGUUAAUACCCUGCAUACUUGACAGUACCUCAAGAGGAAGUCACGGCUAACUCUGUG
RNAcentral lists this ribosomal RNA (496 nucleotides) under uncultured bacterium. RNAcentral describes it as "bacterial SSU rRNA". It matches the Rfam family "Bacterial small subunit ribosomal RNA", at positions 48 to 507 of the family's 1533-position model. The record is from RNAcentral.